AUUGAACGCUGGCGGCGUGCCUAAUACAUGCAAGUCGAGCGAAUGGAUUGAGAGCUUGCUCUUAUGAAGUUAGCGGCGGACGGGUGAGUAACACGUGAGUAACCUGCCCAUAAGACUGGGAUAACUCCGGGAAACCGGGGCUAAUACCGGAUAACAUUUUGAACCGCAUGGUUCGAAAUUGAAAGGCGGCUCCGGCUGUCACUUAUGGAUGGACCCGCGUCGCAUUAGCUAGUUGGUGAGGUAACGGCUCACCAAGGCAACGAUGCGUAGCCGACCUGAGAGGGUGAUCGGCCACACUGGGACUGAGACACGGCCCAGACUCCUACGGGAGGCAGCAGUAGGGAAUCUUCCGCAAUGGACGAAAGUCUGACGGAGCAACGCCGCGUGAGUGAUGAAGGCUUUCGGGUCGUAAAACUCUGUUGUUAGGGAAGAACAAGUGCUAGUUGAAUAAGCUGGCACCUUGACGGUACCUAACCAGAAAGCCACGGCUAACUACGUGCCAGCCGCCGCGGUAA
Molecule: ribosomal RNA, 515 nt
Filed under: uncultured bacterium
Lineage: Bacteria
Description: partial 16S ribosomal RNA
Rfam family: Bacterial small subunit ribosomal RNA
Source: RNAcentral